GUUUUUUGGGUGUGUCUCAUAUAACUGUACAGUUUAUUUCCCUUCUCCCUGAGUGUGAGUGUGAGUGUGAGAGAGACAGAGCGAGAGAGCAAGAGAUUACUGGUGGACUUUCUGUAAACUGGUUGUGAGGAACUCUGUGUCUGGGAUCAUGAACACUGAAGUCCUUAUUCUGGUGAUGUGGGUUUGCAGUGUGUGGUAUCCACAGCUCGUCACAAGCCAGAGGUGCCGGGAUGGUUAUGAGCUUUCACCGGAAUUUGUCUGUGUUGAUACAGACGAGUGUGAGACUUAUGGUGUUGCAAC
Long non-coding RNA from Callorhinchus milii (elephant shark), 300 nucleotides. RefSeq lists it as uncharacterized. The record is from RefSeq and is a predicted model, not a curated record. NCBI's taxonomy places the organism in Eukaryota, Metazoa, Chordata, Chondrichthyes, Chimaeriformes, Callorhinchidae. The transcript has 3 exons.